This 413-nucleotide unclassified non-coding RNA is filed under the name Hevea brasiliensis (rubber tree). Lineage: Eukaryota; Viridiplantae; Streptophyta; Magnoliopsida; Malpighiales; Euphorbiaceae. The record is from RNAcentral.
GAGCCAUUAGAGUGUAGCCAUGUGUCAGUUGCUAGCCUUCUCAAAACGAAAUUCUUUGAUGCACCGAUAGACCUCAUGUCUUCGGGUCGGUUCCUUNNNNACCAGGAGAGACGAACGGAAGGCGGUAUCACAAAAAUCCAGUUUGAGUCCCCUCUAAAAGCAAGUUCGAGCUAAAUCACAACCAAACCCCCAUGCUACAAGCCAGCCUCAACCAUCGAUUAAGAUUCAAAACCCAUAUACAAAAAGCCAAUCAAAGGCAGAACAGAGCAUGGAAACUGGGAACAUUAAAGGGAUUAUCGGAUCGACUUACCUGUGAUGCCAUCGCCGCAUCGCUGAUCUAGUGCCGUCGUUGCCAAGUAAGUCCUCUUUUUCUUCUUCUUCCUCUUCUUCUUGUGAAGCAGUGUUGAUCAGUG